UACAGAGGUCUCAAGCGUUGUUCGGAUUCAUUGGGCGUAAAGGGUGCGUAGGUGGCGCCGUAAGUCAGGUGUGAAAUUUCGGAGCUUAACUCCGAAACUGCAUUUGAUACUGCGGUGCUUGAGGAUUGGAGAGGAGACUGGAAUUCACGGUGUAGCAGUGAAAUGCGUAGAUAUCGUGAGGAAGACCAGUGGCGAAGGCGGGUCUCUGGACAGUUCCUGACACUGAGGCACGAAGGCCAGGGGAGCAAACGGG
RNAcentral lists this ribosomal RNA (253 nucleotides) under uncultured bacterium. RNAcentral's name for it is "partial 16S ribosomal RNA". It matches the Rfam family "Bacterial small subunit ribosomal RNA", at positions 524 to 776 of the family's 1533-position model. The record is from RNAcentral.